UACAGAGGUCUCGAGCGUUAGGCGGAAUUACUGGGCUUAAAGCGUGUGUAGGCGGCGGGCUAAGUACCUUGUGAAAUCCCACGGCUUAACUGUGGAACUGCUGGGUAUACUGGUUCGCUUGAGCGGUCUAGGGGCGAGCGGAACAAAUGGUGGAGCGGUGAAAUGCGUAGAUAUCAUUUGGAACGCCAACGGUGAAAACAGCUCGCUGGGGACCUGCUGACGCUGAGACACGAAAGCCAGGGGAGCGAACGGG
RNAcentral lists this ribosomal RNA (253 nucleotides) under uncultured bacterium. RNAcentral describes it as "partial 16S ribosomal RNA". It matches the Rfam family "Bacterial small subunit ribosomal RNA", at positions 524 to 776 of the family's 1533-position model. The record is from RNAcentral.